This is a non-coding RNA of Eptesicus fuscus (big brown bat), 127 nucleotides long. RefSeq annotates it as microRNA mir-9186b-5. Lineage: Eukaryota; Metazoa; Chordata; Mammalia; Chiroptera; Vespertilionidae. The record is from RefSeq and is marked provisional.
ACUUGUGUUAAUUACCUUGUUUGUAGGGGGAGGUGAGCGGCAUCACUGGUACUGAGGUAAUGGCUGCUCACAGUACCAGACAUGCCGCCCUCCUCCCCCUACAAAUAUCCCAGCACAGACCACGUGA